Molecule: ribosomal RNA, 301 nt
Filed under: uncultured bacterium
Lineage: Bacteria
Description: partial 16S ribosomal RNA
Rfam family: Bacterial small subunit ribosomal RNA
Source: RNAcentral
CAGCAGCCGCGGUAAUACGUAGGUCCCGAGCGUUGUCCGGAUUUAUUGGGCGUAAAGCGCGCGCAGGCGGAUAGGUCAGUCUGUCUUAAAAGUUCGGGGCUUAACCCCGUGAUGGGAUGGAAACUGCCAAUCUAGAGUAUCGGAGAGGAAAGUGGAAUUCCUAGUGUAGCGGUGAAAUGCGUAGAUAUUAGGAAGAACACCAGUGGCGAAGGCGACUUUCUGGACGAAAACUGACGCUGAGGCGCGAAAGCCAGGGGAGCGAAUGGGAUUAGAUACCCGAGUAGUCCCUGUCUCUUAUACC